AUGCAUGGGCACAAACCUUCCGGUCGCUUGAAUAUUUUAAGUUCCAGUUAUAUGCAGGGACUCACAGCACAGGGAACCAUUUCCUACGUAGCAAAGGUCCGUUUGAGAACAUGCAUCGUGUGUCAUGGCAUGGCAAACAUAAAUAAUAAUGGAACCACAUGCAUGCAUGCGUGGUUAUUGUUAAACAAGUGUGCUUCUCUAGCAUUCAGUUCCUCACGCACACCCUCCUUCUUGAUUAAAAUACCGCGGGGCUUCUUUUCUUUUGAGAAGGAGUCUUUCUGCAAAAGAAACUUAGAUCCGUAUAUAUGCAAUUGA
Molecule: ribosomal RNA, 315 nt
Filed under: Triticum aestivum (bread wheat)
Lineage: Eukaryota; Viridiplantae; Streptophyta; Magnoliopsida; Poales; Poaceae
Description: partial small subunit ribosomal RNA
Source: RNAcentral